RNAcentral lists this transfer RNA (67 nucleotides) under Marmota monax (woodchuck). Its description in RNAcentral is "tRNA.Ala". Lineage: Eukaryota; Metazoa; Chordata; Mammalia; Rodentia; Sciuridae. The record is from RNAcentral.
GGUUGUGGCUCAGUGGUAGAGCACAUGCUUAGCAUGUGUGAGGCCCUGGGUUUGAUUCUAAGCACCA